This 418-nucleotide unclassified non-coding RNA is filed under the name soil metagenome. RNAcentral describes it as "partial contains 5.8S ribosomal RNA, internal transcribed spacer 2, and large subunit ribosomal RNA". The stretch from base 1 to 120 matches the Rfam family "5.8S ribosomal RNA", at positions 35 to 154 of the family's 154-position model. The record is from RNAcentral.
GAUGAAGAACGCAGCGAAAUGCGAUACGUAAUGUGAAUUGCAGAAUUCAGUGAAUCAUCGAAUCUUUGAACGCACAUUGCACUCUCUGGUAUUCCGGAGAGUAUGCUUGUUUGAGUAUCAGUAAACACCUCAAAUCUCUUGUUUCUUGUGAAUAAGAGAAUUGGACUUGAGCAAUCCCAACUCUUGCAAAAGAGGCGGGUUGCUUGAAAUGCAGGUGCAGCUGGACAUUCUUCUGAGCUAAAAGCAUAUUUAUUUAGUCCCGUAAAACGGAUUAUUACUCUUGCUGCAGCUAACAUAAAGGUUGAAUGGCCAAUAUGGCUGACUGAUGCAGGAUUAACAGAGAAUUUAUUCUUUGUAAACUCGAUCUCAAAUCAAGUAAGACUACCCGCUGAACUUAAGCAUAUCAAUAAGCGGAGGA